RNAcentral lists this long non-coding RNA (5171 nucleotides) under Manihot esculenta (cassava). Its description in RNAcentral is "long non-coding RNA (MESC_LNC000686)". Lineage: Eukaryota; Viridiplantae; Streptophyta; Magnoliopsida; Malpighiales; Euphorbiaceae. The record is from RNAcentral.
UACCAGGUCACUCCUGGAUAGUCCAGGUCGCUCCUGGUACUAUGAGUUAGACAGAUAGCCUGUCAGUUCAGAGAUAAGAGAAGUCCAGGUGAUGACCUAGUCUCCUUGGCACAGUGGGACAUGUUAUGAUAUGAGACAGAUAAGAGAAGUCCAGGUGAUGACCUAGUCUCCUUGGCACAGCAGGACAUAUUAUGACAUGUAGUAGAGGGCUAUUGGUGACAAGUUCAUCCGUGAGAUGAUAUGUUUGUGAUGUGAUGCAUUUCAUGAAAACAUGUAAUUAAUGAAUUGUUUUAUUGUUCCUCCUUACUGGGCUAUAGAGCUCAUCCCACUCCCUUAACCCCAGUUUUGCAGGUUCCGAGAUAGCUAUGGGAAGUCAGAGUCAGCAAGAGUAAAGAAAGAUAUGCAUGAAUGUAUGUUUAUAAUAAUAUAGUGGACAUGAUGUAAUUAAAAGAUUAGUUGUAAUGUAAUACAUAGAUAUGUACUGUCAUAUACUGGAUAGACUUGUGCUUUCCCUAGUGUCUUUGUUGUAGAGUGGUGUAUGAUUAAUCCCUUUGUUCAUGAAUCCUGUUUUACGUUUCUUGAUGAGAAAUGUGUGUAUCAGGCUUAAUGUAUGGCUUUGAUGAGAUACCAGUGGAUUGUGUUACAGAUUAAAAGGGUUUCAAUUCUUUGACCCACUGCAGAUAAUAGUUACUGGUAUAGGCCCUGAAGGCCAUUUCAGAUUUGCAUAUCUGAGUAGCAGUAGUUAAGCCUGGAGAGUUUUACAGGAUUGUUGAGUAUUUUUAAUCAUGUAUGGGAUUUAUCAGGUACACAGAGAGUAUAGUCGGCUUGCUACGGGUCCCGGCGGCCUUAAGCUGAUUUGGAUCCUAGUGCCAGUGAUGGUUCGGACCGUUACAGAGGGGUACCGGUUUCCGGGCUGUUACAGAUUGGUAUCAGAGCAUAGGGCCUCAAGAGUACGGUGUGUUGAGCAUUUUUGUUCAAGGACUAGAGAUAUCCCACAUCGAAAAGAGGUGUUGUCUUGUAUAGAAGGGUAAGCACAAUAGGCAAAAUCAUGUCCACUAGGAUAGGAUGUGGAGUCCUGUCUUGCAUGAUGAUGUGAAAUGCCAUGACAAGAUACAUGUGCAUUAUUGAUAUGUGAUAUAUAUAUGUUGUGGAUUCAUGUGUUCUAACAUGGAUCAUUUGAUGUUUUGUGUGAUGUUGUGCUUUUCAGAAACAGGAUGAGAGGAACUCGUCGAUCUGCUAGAUUGACUGGAGCUCCGCCGGAGAAUGAGGACAUGGAUGCCCAUCUCCCUGUUCUGCAAAGGGCAACAUCAGAUAGAUUACGCAGAGACGGUACAUCAAGGGACCCUAGAAGGUCUAUUGAUGAGAGUAGAAGGGGAGUCGUUCAGAGUGGUAUGUCAGGGGAUAUGAGGGAAGUAGAGGAGGAUGAGCAGAGCAGAGAUGCUAGCUUGGGCAUGAGUAUGUUAGGAGCAGAUAUGGGUGAGUCCCAAGGAGGCACUCAGGCCUCGAGAUUUGUUCCACCUCAGUAUCCACCCUACCCGUGGGGGGCAGAGUACCUGAUGGGUGGUAUAUCGGAGUUUCCUAGGUAUAACCCAUAUCCCACCUUUAUGCCUUAUCCUUCCUUUUACCCGCCAUAUCCACCGCCACAUCUACAGUAUACCAUGUUUCCACCCUUCUUUGGUUAUCCAGGUUCAGCAAACCCUAACCCAGGGAAUGUUGCACCUCCUCCACCACCAAUAAAACCAGUAGCCCUAGUUGUGCAAACAUCUAAGCCUAGCUCAUCUGGAGAAAGUGAGGUAAAGAUGACAGAUUAUUUGAGGUUGGAUGUUCCCAAAUUUGAGACUGGUAAUGACCCUUUGGAGUAUCUGAGAACGGUCAAGAUGAUAACUGAUGAGUUGGGAGCCAGUGAGAGUAGAGCCAUUCAGAUGGCGGGGGUCACAUUGAAAUGUGAGAAGGCAAGGGAAUGGUUCAACCAGUAUGUGGACCCGAGGGUAGAAAGCUUAUCCUGGGAGCAGUUUGCUACAGAGUUUGCAGGAUGGGCUUUUCCAGAUAGCUCAAGAGAGCGUCAGGAGAGUGAAUCUGAACAGCUAAGACAGACAGAAAAUAUGAGUAUAGAUAAUUACCCAGAGAAUAUUGAUCGUUUUCCUUUGGGUGAGGCUGCUGCAAAGAGUAAAAAGAAAGUUAGAGGCCUGAAAGGGUCAAAGAAAAGAGAGUUCUGGAAUAGGUUAAAGUCUAGUAUGGGUUUUAGCGAUGGCUCGAGUUCUGUUUGGGACAGUUCUAGAUGUACGAGGUGCGGUAGGAGGCACAGAGGAGUCUGUCUAGUAGGGACAACAGCAUGUUUCAGGUGCGGACAGGAGGGGCACAUAGCACGUGAGUGUUCCACCGCGAUUUUGAUAACACAGUCCCAGCAGAUAGCCUUAGACAGAGUGGCUCAGCCAGGAGUGCUAGCCAGGGUGCAGGGCAGAGGCAGAGGGAGCGAGAUCACUCCUUCUUCCACAGGUUCCCCAGGUGAAGGUCCAUCAGUACUAGCACGGAUCUUUUCUUUGACGCAACAAGAGGCUCACACAUCGGACAUGGAGGUGACAGGUACUUUUCACUUCCAUCCGAGCAGGUUUAAUGGUCAGGUCAGGGAAUCAGCCUCAAUGCCUGUAGCUAGUGAGUUCUAGAUGUUUUCCCAGAUGAGCUGUCAGGUUUACCAUCUGUCAGGGAGUCAGAGUUUGAAAUAGAAGUGGUGUCUGGACGCGAAACCAUUUCUUUCCUUCUACCCUACAGGAUGGCACCUGCAGAGAGAGCAUAGUCAGAGUAGUAUAGAGAAGCUUGGUAGAUAAAGGUUGUAUCCGACCUAGUACCUCACCCUGGAAUGUUCCAGUGUCAAUGUGAGAAACGAAGGAUGAAACCUUGAGAUUUUGUAACAACUGUGAGCAGUUGAACAAAAUCACUACCAAGGACAGGUGUUCCCAUGCAGAAUGGAUGAUCUAUUGGAACAGCUAGUAAAAACUGGUUGUUUUCCAUAAUAGAUCUCAGAAUUGGGAACUAUAUGUCGAAAGUUAGAGAAAAGUUAGUUUAGCAGUUGAGUAAAGGUGAGAUCUUUAUUGAUCAAAGGAGUUUAUAGUGAAGAGUCUAAAACAGAGGUAAGGGGUAAAACUGCUCAGCGACUCUGAGUAUACAAAACAGUAUCUACUGGGUGAGGCAGAUGAGAUGUUAGCUGCCCUCAGUCAGAAGUCGCUUACCAGUUUAUCCUAUAGAACAGGUAUUACUUCAGACUGAUGAUCGGUUGGAUCAGCUGGCAGGAGCCAGUUAUUUUUCAAGCUAGAUCUGAAAUCUGAGUGCUAGCUGUUGAGAGCUAGAGUUAGUCCAAUGUAAUAGGAAGGGAUCAAAAGAGAAGAAGCCAGUAUAAUAAAGAAGAAGAAAGGCGGGCAAGGAUCAGAGUGCGUAGCGGAAGAUUACUGUGUUGUUUGUGAUGUCUCCAGUGUGUAAUGAGCCGUUGAGGGGUGAAAGAUAAAAGAUUAAAUCCAUGGAAUCCUGUAAAGGAUUAAAGAGAUAGGAUUUAUCUAUUUCUAAGAGGAGAACCAUUUGGUUUCCUUAUUUCUUUUGUUCUGGAGUGGUGUUGGAUCCAAUGGAGGUUCUGUAUGAACCAGAGGUGGAGAUCUUAGGAAAUCUCACCGGUAUAGCAUAGUUAGAGUGAAUCAUACACACUCAGCUCGCAGAAUAGAAGAAUAGAAAGAUCCCAGAAGAGAAGUCUCUUAGAAUCACCCCAAGAGUGUAGUAUGAAUAGGAGACCCGGGAGUUCUUACUCUAGCGAUAUCUGUGUUUCUCUUUGGAGAACAGAUUUCUGUUUCAUUUGUUUAUUUGUUUGUUGUUUGAACAUUCGAGGACGAAUGUUUUUAAAGGGGGGAAGAAUGUCAUUCCCGGCCAGAUCAGACAUCAAAAUUCCUAUAGUCUGGUGGAAUUCGAGGAUGUCAGAGGUAUCUAGAAGGGUAAGAGAAAUGUUUUCUUAAAUAUUUUAAGUGUUUGAAGGUUUUAAAUGAGAUAGGAAUGAAUUUUGAAGAGAAAAGUUUUCUUAAGCUCCUAUAUGCUUGUUGUUUUGAGAUAUGGAUGAGUUAGAGAGGUUGGAUGCAUGUUGGGAAGGAUUGGAAGGUUUGGGAGGCAUCUUUGUGCAUGAAGCUGAGUUCUGGAUGAACUCAGGUUCGGCAGCCGAAGGAGGAUUCGGCCGCCGAACAUGCCCGACUUUCUUCUCUAGAGGAGACAUUCGGCCGCCGAAGGUGCUGCCGAAGGUGUCCUGUCCAACCUUCCUUUACUUGUUUUGCAUGCAUGUUUUGAGGCGUUCUAGAGGGAUUUUGGGGAGUUGUUUAUCAGUUGCAUAGAGUAUGUUUGGUGCCUCAUUUGCGUCCUCCAUUGUAGGAUUGGACCCGAGGAACCGAGGUGUUUAGCAGUAGUAGCUGCUUCAGAGUUAGAGGUAGCCCAGAGUUAGCCAAACAGUGGCUACAGGUGAGUGGAACUAAACUUAAUAUUUUACUUGAGAGAAAUGACACGGUUCUAGUAUGAUCCAUGCAUCAUAAAAUGCCAUGUUAUGUAUGAGGUUGUGUUGCAUUAGAAUUCACGAAUAUGACGCAUUGCAUAAGAUGUUGUUCAUGUGGAUGAAUGUUGGAUGAUCCUUAGCCCUUGAUAUGAGAUCAGAGAUUAUGAGUUGAGAUAUGGCAUGAGAUAGCCAUACCAGGUCGCUUCUGGAUAGUCCAGGUCGCUCCUGGUACUAUGAGUUAGACAGAUAGCCUGUCAGUUCAGAGAUAAGAGAAGUCCAGGUGAUGACCUAGUCUCCUUGGCACAGUGGGACAUGUUAUGAUAUGAGACAGAUAAGAGAAGUCAGGUGAUGACCUAGUCUCCUUGGCACAACAGGACAUAUUAUGACAUGUAGUAGAGGGCUAUUGGUGACAAGUUCAUCCAUGAGAUGAUAUGUUUGUGAUGUGAUGCAUUUCAUGAAAACAUGUAAUUAAUGAAUUGUUUUAUUGUUCCUCCUCACUGGGCUAUAGAGCUCAUCCCACUCCCUUAACCCCAGUUUUGCAGGUUCCGAGAUAGCUAUGGGAAGUCAGAGUCAGCAAGAGUAAAGAAAGAUAUGCAUGAAUGUAUGUUUAUAAUAGUAUAGUGGACAUGAUGUAAUUAAAAGAUUAGUUGUAAUG